AGAGUUUGAUCAUGGCUCAGAACGAACGCUGGCGGCGUGCUUAACACAUGCAAGUCGAGUGCGCGUCUGUAGCAAUACAGAUGGCGCACGGCGCACGGGUGCGUAACACGUGGGUAACCUGCCCUUUAGUGGGGAAUAACCUCGCGAAAGCGAGGCUAAUUCCGCAUAAGAUCCGCAAGGAUGAAAGCCGUAAGGCGCUGAUGGAGGGGCCCGCGCACGAUUAGCUAGUUGGUAGGGUAACGGCCUACCAAGGCUAUGAUCGUUAGCUGGUCUGAGAGGAUGGCCAGCCACACUGGAACUGAGACACGGUCCAGACUCCUACGGGAGGCAGCAGUGGGGAAUCUUGCACAAUGGGCGAAAGCCUGAUGCAGCGACGCCGCGUGGGGGAUGAAGCUUCUCGGAGUGUAAACCCCUUUCGACCCGGACGAAUACCUCGCAAGAGGGGUGACGGUACGGGUAUAAGAAGCCCCGGCUAACUACGUGCCAGCAGCCGCGGUAAGACGUAGGGGGCCAGCGUUGUUCGGAAUUACUGGGUGUAAAGGGUUCGUAGGCGGUGUGGCAAGUCGGGAGUGAAAUUUCUGGGCUCAACUCAGAGACUGCUUCCGAAACUGCUGUGCUUGAGUGUGGGAGAGGCGCGUGGAAUUGCAGGUGUAGCGGUGAAAUGCGUAGAUAUCUGCAGGAACACCCGUGGCGAAAGCGGCGCGCUGGACCACUACUGACGCUGAGGAACGAAAGCUAGGGGACAAACAGGAUUAGAUACCCUUGUAGUCC
Molecule: ribosomal RNA, 771 nt
Filed under: uncultured bacterium
Lineage: Bacteria
Description: bacterial SSU rRNA
Rfam family: Bacterial small subunit ribosomal RNA
Source: RNAcentral